This 759-nucleotide long non-coding RNA is filed under the name Panax ginseng (ginseng). RNAcentral describes it as "long non-coding RNA (PGIN_LNC017862)". Lineage: Eukaryota; Viridiplantae; Streptophyta; Magnoliopsida; Apiales; Araliaceae. The record is from RNAcentral.
UAUAGGCCUAGCCUCUACGUACCUUCUAUAUAAAGGGGUUCAAGUUAUAGAAUUACAAGCACCAAAUUACAAACAAGCUAGCCUUUUUUAAUUAUAUAUUGUAUAUAUAGUUAGAUUUUAAUUAUUAUAUAUACUAGCUACUUAGAAAUUAUAUAUAUAUAUAUAUGGCACCAAGAAAGUCCAACAUUAUGAAGGCUGGCCUAGAAGGGUUUGCUAUGUUGGACGAGGUCUUUGGACAUAAGGGCGGAUCAAAGCAGCCUCCUCCUCCUUCUCCUCAACAGCAGCAAAUAGUACCACGCACAAUAUCUACAUAUAGGUUUCCACGUCGGCCACUAAAUCCCCAUGUUGUUCAGGUGAUUGUUCCUGUACUGGUUCCUGUAGCUAAGGAGGAAGUACGUAUCGAUUGCUAUGAGGCAGCCAAGCUCUAUAAUGGCACCGUGAUUGUGGAUUAUCCUAAACUCAAGUAAUUAACAUUGCUUAAUUUGUAAUUAGGCUCAUCAAAUCAUAUAUAUAUAUAUAUAUAUAUGAUCUCCUACUUUAUGUAUAAUAAGUUGUCUCUAAAAUAAUUAAGCUACGUCCCUAGCUAGCUCUUGUAUUUUAGAAUGAAAAAAAUUGGCAUGUUUGUAGAUGUGCUAUGCAUGAUCUUACUUUUAGAAGUCGCACCAGCCUCUACUAGAUCUUAAUUAAGAGAGAUUAUUGGUGUUUGAUAAAAUUGAGUAAAUAAUAUUUGAAUGAUAUUUAAUAUAUUUUAAUAAAUUA